This 512-nucleotide ribosomal RNA is filed under the name uncultured bacterium. RNAcentral's name for it is "partial 16S ribosomal RNA". It matches the Rfam family "Bacterial small subunit ribosomal RNA", at positions 28 to 507 of the family's 1533-position model. The record is from RNAcentral.
GAUGAACGCUGGCGGCGUGCCUAAUACAUGCAAGUCGAACGAAACUUCUUUAUCACCGAGUGCUUGCACUCACCGAUAAAGAGUUGAGUGGCGAACGGGUGAGUAACACGUGGGCAACCUGCCCAAAAGAGGGGGAUAACACUUGGAAACAGGUGCUAAUACCGCAUAACCAUAGUUACCGCAUGGUAACUAUGUAAAAGGUGGCUAUACUACCGCUUUUGGAUGGGCCCGCGGCGCAUUAGCUAGUUGGUAGGGUAAAGGCUUACCAAGGCAAUGAUGCGUAGCCGAAGUGAGAGGGUGAUCGGCCACAUUGGGACUGAGACACGGCCCAAACUCCUACGGGAGGCAGCAGUAGGGAAUCUUCCACAAUGGGCGAAAGCCUGAUGGAGCAACGCCGCGUGGGUGAAGAAGGUCUUCGGAUCGUAAAACCCUGUUGUUAGAGAAGAAAGUGCGUGAGAGUAACUGUUCACGUUUCGACGGUAUCUAACCAGAAAGCCACUGCUAACUACGUG